CCUUGACUUUGUGUGUAUCUCAGCCGUUCGCAGCGUGAUGCCAAAGAUGUCCUCGUGGUAGCGACUUUCGUCCUGUGGAAAAUCGAAAGAGCAGUGCAACACAAUCUGUGGAAAUAUUGCUCAUACGCCGUGUGUGGCAGGGCGGAAACCCCUCCACUCGCGGUAUUUAUGGCUAAAGCUCAACGUUAUACCGCUAAGGAUACUUACCCGCAGUGUUAGCAAAAAUGUCUCAACUUCCGCCUCGCUUUUCUGCUCUUUGCCGGCAAUGCACUUCCUGUCAAAGAGAAAAGGAAUACGGGAAUAUGGGACGUAAUCUGUGGGGACGUUGCAACAAGAUUUACAAAGUGACGAGCUGAAAGGGAAGCUGUAAAGCACACUAUCACUCUAUUCUUCUAAAGUCCUUUUAGUAAUAUUAGCUAAAUUUACUAAAACCCAUUUCGCCUUGCUCUUUAAUCGCCUAAUAACUUCUUAGUUCACUUUUAGUCAUUAUUACUUCUUCAUAAUUACAGGAAUCAGGUAGAGCAUCGUGUGUAUUUUUUCCUAAGAACCUUUCCAAUUACCAAACGCAACAGAUGCGACAGUCUUAUCUGCCCUGGUUUCAAUUAAACUAAACCGCUUAAGACUACGAGCACAUUUCCAUUGAAAUCCUCCCGUAAGGACAGCCCCAUUAUGCAAUAUCCUGUGUGUAUGGAUUGAGAGACAGCCCCUAUUUCACAAUAAGGCACUUAAUCAGAAGCUUUGAAAAAAUGCGAGGCAGAGAAACGAAAUAUAAAAGCCAAGCGAUGGCAAAAUACCUGACCGUUGGGCAUUGGAAAACAGAAAACUCCCAAUGGUGUCUCCGGGGAAAGGGCCCCCUGCCUCCCAUGUCCUGGGAAUGAGCAGCCACUCCUCGGCCCAAGCACACAAAGGCAAUCAAACUUAAGGCAGAGCAAACCUUACCUGAUGGUCUGGUACACAUGCUCGGCCAUUGUGACAUCGCCGCAGACGUAGAUGUGGCCCCGCUCCUGGACAAUCAACUGGUACAACGAAUCGAAUUCCUGCUCAAUCAGGUCCUGCACAUAUGUCUGCAAUGCACGGGCGAUUCGAUGCCAAAUCGAAAAACAAAUCAUUAUUUAAACGGGAAUUGCUCAGGUACAGAGGGAAAAAAAUCAUGUUUUGUGGUAAGUAAUAUGUGUUUCGAAUAAAAUAAAAGGAAUGAUAUGUUUUCUGUGUAAAACAUUUUGUAAUAGACAAAGUUUUAUGGCUUACCACCCAAACCUACCUUAGGAAUGGCCUGCUCCCUGGACAGAGCGAGAAAAACUCGAUCCAGGAUUUGAUCCUUCUGUAGCUCUGCCUUCUCCUCGGCGUACAAGUCCACAUCCCGAUUCCGGCAGCCGAAGAAGAGCCACAUCUUGGGCAAUUUAGCCGUGGGAUCAAGGUCGCGUAGCACCUGGAACUCCUGCCAGAAGGAUCGGAAUGGAGCGAUUCCAGUGCCAGGACCAAUCAGAAUAAUGGGACGACUCCGAUCGCUGGGCAAAUGGAAGCCCAAGGCGCUCCUCACGAACAUAAACAGCUCGUCGUCCGCCCGCAAACCGGAUAGGUAGUUGGAGCACACGCCAUACCGCUCGUCACCCUGGCCAUCCUCACAGCGGUACUUCACGAUGGCCACAGUCAGGUGGAUUUCGUCACUAACGCGGCGCGGCGACGAGGAAAUGGAGUAGAAACGAGGCUGCAGCGGCGUUAGUUGGGCCAGCAGAAGGGGAGCCGGUGGCCGGCACGAGGGGAACUCCUCGAGAACGUCCAGCAGGUGGGGCAG
Drosophila simulans is the source of this 1795-nucleotide long non-coding RNA. RefSeq lists it as uncharacterized. The transcript has 3 exons. NCBI's taxonomy places the organism in Eukaryota, Metazoa, Arthropoda, Insecta, Diptera, Drosophilidae. The record is from RefSeq and is a predicted model, not a curated record.